GCUAUAAAUUUAGCCCAUGCUUUUCAUAUACACUCAAUAAAAUAUUAAAAUAUUUUAACAGUUGAGUAGAGACGACCAAAAAACUGACAAGAGCUACACUAAAGUACCGCAAGGGAAAAAUGAAACAGUAAUGAAAUACUAUAAAGCACAAAAAAGUAGAGAUUAAAACUUGUACCUUUUGCAUCAUGGUUUAACUAGUAUAAUCAAGCAAAAAGAUUCUUAGUUUGACCCCCCGAAACUGGAUGAGCUACUUCAGGGCAGCUUCUUGAGCUAACCCGUCCCUGUUGCAAUAUGGUGGGAAGACCUUGUAGUAGAGGUGAUAAGCCUAACGAAUUCAGUAAUAGCUGGUUACUCAGGAAAAGAAUUUUAGUUCAACCUAAAGUUACCUAGUAAAAUGAAUUACUUACUUUAGAGCAAUUCAAAUAAGGUACAGCCUAUUUGAUACAGGACACAACCUCGGAUAAUGGCUAACUUAUACUAAACUUAAGCUAAGUGGGCCUAAAAGCAGCCACCUUCAAAGAGCGUUAAAGCCUAAUUUUUCUAGUACUUAAUCCUACAAUCCACAAAGAACCCUUCACCAAUACUGUAGUACUUCUAUACUUUUAUAGAAACUUUUAUGUUAAAACUAGUAACAAGAAAACAUUUCUCUUAAAUGCAAGCAUAAAUCAGAAUGGAUCCCCCACUGAUAUUUAUACACUAUAGCAGCAACCCUACUCCCUCGAAAAUCCUGCCCUUCUAACCGUUAACCUAACACAAGAGCAUUUCAAGAAAGAUUAUAAAAAAAAGAAGGAACUCGGCAAAUAUAUAUACUCCGCCUGUUUACCAAAAACAUCGCCUCUUGCCUAAAUAUAAGAGGUCCAACCUGCCCAGUGAUAAUAAUUCAACGGCCGCGGUACCCUGACCGCGCAAAGGUAGCGUAAUCGCUUGUCUCUUAAUUAGGGACUAGUAUGAAAGGAUUUACGAGAGUCUAACUGUCUCCUUUUUUUGAUCUGUGAAACUAAUCUCCCCGUGAAAAAGCGGGGAUUAUAUUAUAAGACGAGAAGACCCUAUGGAGCUUUAGAUAAAGCAAUAAUUUCUUUUUACUGUUCUUUUCAGAAAAAUACUCACUAAAGUACCUUAUUGCCUAUCUUUGGUUGGGGCGACCGCGGAGUAAAAUUUACCCUCCACGCUAUAUGAAACCUCCCGUAACAAAGAGCCACAACUCCAUGCCUCAAAAAAUUGAUAAUUGACCCAAUAUUUGAUCAACGAAACAAGUUACCCUAGGGAUAACAGCGCAAUCUACUUUGAGAGUCCAUAUUGACAAGUGGGUUUACGACCUCGAUGUUGGAUCAGGGUGCCCCAGUGGUGCAGCCGCUACUAAAGGUUUGUGUGUUCAACAAUUAAAACCCU
This 1389-nucleotide ribosomal RNA is filed under the name Ischnocnema aff. oea PT-2018. RNAcentral describes it as "partial 16S ribosomal RNA". It matches the Rfam family "Bacterial large subunit ribosomal RNA", at positions 372 to 2597 of the family's 2925-position model. Lineage: Eukaryota; Metazoa; Chordata; Amphibia; Anura; Brachycephalidae. The record is from RNAcentral.